This is a long non-coding RNA of Cyprinus carpio carpio, 398 nucleotides long. The record is from Ensembl. Lineage: Eukaryota; Metazoa; Chordata; Actinopteri; Cypriniformes; Cyprinidae.
GAGCAAUGGAAGGAAGGUGUGGAAACUGAAACAGAGGGAGAGAGAGAGAGCUGCAGCCCAUAAAGCAGCUCUAAGCAGAUAAUUUGAAACAUGCUGGAUUACUGAAGGUGUCUACGUGCAUUUUGGAAGGCCUUGGAUUUUGAGGUUGUUAUUUUACCAUCAGCAGACAGUUUGAUGGGGUCAUAUGAGAUAUUUACACAGUGUGAAGUUCAGCCAAAGUCCUGAAAUGAAGCAGGACAUUAACAGUAACUUUAACAAACAAGCACAUACCAAACUGCCAUACCAAGGGAGACACUAAAGGACUGCAUAUAACUACUAUACGGAUCCAUUCAGAAUCACUAAACAAAGCAAAAUACAAAUGAAAAAUAAAAACAUUCUGAAUGUGUGGAAACUCAGCA